GUCCCUGUAGCGCAAGGGAUAGCACGUUGGACUUCUAAUCCAAAGUGUGGUUCAAAUCCCACCUGGGAUG
Molecule: non-coding RNA, 70 nt
Organism: Trichonephila inaurata madagascariensis
Lineage: Eukaryota; Metazoa; Arthropoda; Arachnida; Araneae; Nephilidae
Source: the annotation of a GenBank genome assembly